UAUAUUAAAAGAUUAAGGUGUGGAUGGUUGCUUCUUUUACCUCUGUAGAUGAAGAUGUGACGAGAAGAUUAUUUUAUUAAUGUUGAAAGAGGUAGAUACUCACAAUAGAGAAUGAAAUUCAAAUCGAAAAAUCAAGAGGCUCACUCAUAAGAGGAGAAGUAGGAGUUUCUCCAACUCUACUUUUAAUUCAAGGAGAGCUAAAUUCCCCAA
Molecule: long non-coding RNA, 210 nt
Filed under: Elaeis guineensis (African oil palm)
Lineage: Eukaryota; Viridiplantae; Streptophyta; Magnoliopsida; Arecales; Arecaceae
Description: long non-coding RNA (EGUI_LNC005159)
Source: RNAcentral